AGUUCACCCAACCUGCCCACUAAAGGAAGAAGCAAAGAAGUCUAAGUUCUUUGGAGUAAGAUGCUCUCAAAUGCCUAGGAACACUGAUCUCCUAACUUGUCUUCCUGCUUUGAGUGUCCCUCUGAGGUUAAAGUUCCUGCCUCAGUCUCCAACAAUGACUAUAAGCCUCUCUGGGCAAGAUCCACGUCUUACUCAUUUUUGUGUCUGCAGUUUAGUUCCUGGUUCAUUGUAGGUUCUCAAUAAACGUUUGUUAGAAUGAGUUGAUCUCUUGGAUCCAGUGCCCCAGAAAGAUAUGUAAGUACUAUUUUUAUCCUUUCCCAUUGUGUGUCCACCUUCUCUCCAAUCCUAGAUCACCAAAAGUGAAGCAGAAGUGAUGAGAGUAGCAAUUUGUAGUAUCAAAACGACUUCUUAUAGUGCACAGAAAGCCCAGCACUGUCUCGUAUGGGAGACUCGUGGUUCUGCCACUGUCUUGCUGGGUGACCUGAGAUAACUUCUUUUCUCUCUGGGUCUGAUUCCUCACAGGUCAUUUCCACUGCUGCCCACUGAGGAGUGCCACUGGAGAUGAUCUCACAACAAAGAGAGGGGGAGAGGUCCCUGGCCCUCCCCUUUCCUCUGUGCUCUCAGCAGCUGACCUUGUCUUUUCCUUUACUGAGAGUAGAGGCACCUCUUACAAAUACUCUGGCCUCUGCCUGGACUGACUGGGCUAAAUUGUCUCCGAAGAUGGCCACCAACCAUUCCUCCCACCUGUCUGCAUGCAGGCUGCUCCUCCCGUCAGAAGAUGGAGACUGCUUCCUUGCCCUUCAAUCCAAGCUGGCUCAUGACUUGCUUCAAUGAAUAGGAAAUGGCAGAAGUGAUGCUCUGAGGCUUCUGGGCCUAGACUUUAAGAGGUGUUGCCCCUUUCCUUUUUCCCUCUUGGGAUCCAGCCUACCACAUAGAGAAGUUUGGGUUGACAACUAAAUGUGAGAGAGAGACAGACAGAGAGAAGAGGGAGAGCUGAUUCAGCUAGACCUUAGUCAUUCCAGCCAUCCUAGCUGAAGCACUAGCAUGUGAAAGAAGCCACCUUCUAACCUAUCAAUCAGAGCCCCCAAUUUUACUGACCUCAGUCAACACCAUGUGGAACAGAACUACCCCAGGGAGCCCAACCAACCCAUACAAUCAUGAGAAAUUAAAAACUGAUGUUGUAGCCUCCUGAGUUUUAAGGUAGUUUGUUACACAAAAAUACUGGAAUUUUGACCCACCUUCACCUCCAAUGCCAACCUAGUAAACCUGGAUAUAUCUUUCAAAAUUUGGCUCAAGUGUCAACUCUUUCAUGAACCCUCUGUAUCCUUUUCUUGCUCAUUCAAGCCCUAUUUUCUCUUCUCCUCCCCAAAAUUCCAUAGUACUUUGUAUUACAAACUAUGUGCUUACAACCCCCAAAGUCUCUGGGCAUCCAGAAGGCAGAGAUUUGGCUUAAUUCAUUUUUGCCUCUGCCUAGCCUAACACCCGGCACAUUUAGAUAUUUAGUUAUUGUUUGCUGAAUGAAUGGAUGCAUGAAGAAGAAAAUUUAACAGAUGAUAUCUACAGGCACAUCUGGCUCCAAAAUUGAAUCAUGUCAUCUAGCAAUGCUCAGUAAAGUUAACAUAAGCAAUUUC
RNAcentral lists this long non-coding RNA (1631 nucleotides) under Homo sapiens (human). RNAcentral's name for it is "HSALNT0119923". Lineage: Eukaryota; Metazoa; Chordata; Mammalia; Primates; Hominidae. The record is from RNAcentral.